RNAcentral lists this ribosomal RNA (433 nucleotides) under uncultured Anaerovorax sp. RNAcentral's name for it is "partial 16S ribosomal RNA". It matches the Rfam family "Bacterial small subunit ribosomal RNA", at positions 341 to 792 of the family's 1533-position model. The record is from RNAcentral. Lineage: Bacteria; Bacillati; Bacillota; Clostridia; Peptostreptococcales; Anaerovoracaceae.
ACGGGAGGCAGCAGUGGGGAAUAUUGCACAAUGGGGGAAACCCUGAUGCAGCAACGCCGCGUGAAGGAUGAAGGCCCUUGGGUCGUAAACUUCUGUUCUAAGGGAAGAUAAUGACGGUACCUUAGGAGCAAGUCCCGGCUAACUACGUGCCAGCAGCCGCGGUAAUACGUAGGGGGCAAGCGUUAUCCGGAAUUAUUGGGCGUAAAGAGUGCGUAGGUGGUUUCCUAAGCAUGGGGUUUAAGGCAAUGGCUUAACCAUUGUUCGCCCCAUGAACUGGGUUACUUGAGUGCUGGAGGGGAAAGCGGAAUUCCUAGUGUAGCGGUGAAAUGCGUAGAUAUUAGGAGGAACACCAGUGGCGAAGGCGGCUUACUGGACUGUAACUGACGUUGAGGCUCGAAAGCGUGGGGAGCAAACAGGAUUAGAUACCCUGGUA